GGGCGAAUGGUUUAGUGGUAUAAUACUCCCUUAGCAUGUUUCGUCUGAAUAGCUUGGGAGUGGUCCAGGGUUCGAUUCCCUGUUCGUCCA
This 90-nucleotide transfer RNA is filed under the name Thelonectria olida. It matches the Rfam family "tRNA". From Rfam's summary of the family: Transfer RNA (tRNA) molecules are approximately 80 nucleotides in length. Their secondary structure includes four short double-helical elements and three loops (D, anti-codon, and T loops). Further hydrogen bonds mediate the characteristic L-shaped molecular structure. tRNAs have two regions of fundamental functional importance: the anti-codon, which is responsible for specific mRNA codon recognition, and the 3' end, to which the tRNAs corresponding amino acid is attached (by aminoacyl-tRNA synthetases). tRNAs cope with the degeneracy of the genetic code in two manners: having more than one tRNA (with a specific anti-codon) for a particular amino acid; and 'wobble' base-pairing, i.e. permitting non-standard base-pairing at the 3rd anti-codon position. Lineage: Eukaryota; Fungi; Ascomycota; Sordariomycetes; Hypocreales; Nectriaceae. The record is from Rfam by way of RNAcentral.